RNAcentral lists this long non-coding RNA (1018 nucleotides) under Chinchilla lanigera (long-tailed chinchilla). RNAcentral's name for it is "lncRNA (ENSCLAG00000025688.1)". The record is from RNAcentral. Lineage: Eukaryota; Metazoa; Chordata; Mammalia; Rodentia; Chinchillidae.
CUCAGUUGUAUGUUUUGAAUAUCCCUCUCUUCACUUGUAAGAAGUAGAACUUUUUAGGCAUUCACUGACAAGCAAAUGCUCAAAAGUAAGACUCUCACCUCCUCUGCCUAUGUUCAUAAGCUUAUAUCUCAACAAUAUUUAAUGAGUCCCCUUGGACACUCUGACACUGAAGUCUUCACAGCUGGGAGGGCAAAACCCAGGUUCUCCUUGAAUCCGGUCAUGACGAGGCUUGUGGUUAAUUCCAUCACUGCGAAUCCCUGGAGACUGAAUCGAAAGACUGGCCUGUCGGUGGAUCCUAUUAGUCAUCGUUCUGCCUGCCACUUACCAUGUAAACUUUCUAACCCAAGGAACAAGAAUUUGGGCUUUGACCUGAACGAUACUUCUCUGGAGCUUCCCCAGUGACCCUGAAAUUCCCAAAUGUUGUCCCAUGUUCACUGAGGACUCCAGGAAACUAGAGCGGGUCCUGCGAUGUGCAUUCCUCUUUCUACAAGCUCUAUAUAUGGCAGUCACUUGGAGAAGACUCCCUGCGAAGCUCAUAGUGCCUUAAUCAAGAAGUAAGCUCAGGUUUACUCUAUUCUCAGAUGCCCAAAUAGAAAAAAAAAUAAUAAACCCAAAAUAUGUCAAUUCUCUUCCCACUCUUUCAAUUCCAAACCUUUUUUGUUCCUAGUUCAUUUUAGGAAGUAUUUUCCAGUCUGAGAGAGCGAGGAGGGAAUAGAAACUCCUCUAGAAGGAGAUAAAAUGGUCCGCUGGAACUCUCUUCUUGGACUUAGGCCUGUAGCUUUUAAGCUUGGAAGAUUGAGAACUUGUCUUCCUUUUCAAGUGUACAUCUGAUAACUUCCCCAAAUCUCCCACCCAACUGAGGUAUAGUCACGCAAAGAAGAAAAGAAGAUGCAUAUUGUUGUCUCAAGUUUAUUACCCCAACACAGAUCCACACUGAGGUGAAUGUUUCUUAAAGCACUCAUAUUAGUUAUUAGUCUUACUUGAACCAUAUCAGGUUGUUCUAAUUCCUAAGCAAUUU